Molecule: ribosomal RNA, 468 nt
Filed under: uncultured bacterium
Lineage: Bacteria
Description: partial 16S ribosomal RNA
Rfam family: Bacterial small subunit ribosomal RNA
Source: RNAcentral
GACGAACGCUGGCGGCGUGCUUAACACAUGCAAGUCGGACGGAAAGGCCCUGCUUUUGUGGGGUGCUCGAGUGGCGAACGGGUGAGUAACACGUGAGUAACCUGCCCUUGACUUUGGGAUAACUUCAGGAAACUGGGGCUAAUACCGGAUAGGAGCUCCUGCUGCAUGGUGGGGGUUGGAAAGUUUCGGCGGGUGGGGAUGGACUCGCGGCUUAUCAGCUUGUUGGUGGGGUAGUGGCUUACCAAGGCUUUGACGGGUAGCCGGCCUGAGAGGGUGACCGGCCACAUUGGGACUGAGAUACGGCCCAGACUCCUACGGGAGGCAGCAGUGGGGAAUAUUGCACAAUGGGCGGAAGCCUGAUGCAGCAACGCCGCGUGCGGGAUGACGGCCUUCGGGUUGUAAACCGCUUUCGCCUGUGACGAAGCGUGAGUGACGGUAAUGGGUAAAGAAGCACCGGCUAACUACGUG